Molecule: long non-coding RNA, 3797 nt
Organism: Nothobranchius furzeri (turquoise killifish)
Lineage: Eukaryota; Metazoa; Chordata; Actinopteri; Cyprinodontiformes; Nothobranchiidae
Source: RefSeq, a predicted model, not a curated record
AACAUUUACUAGAAUGAGUCUGUUUAACACACACGCCGAAAAUAAAAAUAAUAGUUUAAUUUUUUUUAGAAAACAAGUUAAACUGGCAGCCUGUAAAAGUCGGGACCUACCUGCGUGGACGACUCCAUGAGUGGGACGGCAUCCUCGAUGGUUCCAAUUUCCAGCCCAUUCCCCGAUUUUCAUUCCCGAUGACAGGCAACACAAGCUGGAGCGGCUGUGUAGCUGUGGAGGAGAGCUGAUGACACGACAUUUAUUACCGUUUUCCCACACACUUGCAAACAUCUCAUGAGGCCCAGAACUGAAGCGGUUACAUGUGGAGUAAACUGCUUAGAAGAUGUUCAACGGAUGAUGCAGGAACGGGCAAUAUGAAAGUGAAUUCCCUUGAAGCAUGCUUCACACACACACACACACACGCACACACACACACAGAGUGAGGAACAUGAGAAAUGGGCGAGGAGCCAUACUGUUCAACGUGAACUGGAGGGUCCAAGUCGCUAAACUAAUCCGAGUACCUCAAGAUCCCACUUUCAGCCAAGUCUUUUGCUGCAGCUGCCUGGGAUCAUUUCACAAACACAAGGUAUUCCUGGAAGAAUUGAUUCUGUUAGAUAGUACAUUGAUCACACACAUCGCCUGCGGACAGAAGAUGGCUUUACAAGCAAUAAGAUGGGAGACAAUUAUAUUAUUUUAGUGAAAUAAGACAGAGUACAAGCAGCGAGUGCCAAUAGCCCAGGCAGGGGGAGGGAGGGACAGGAGUCCCCCCUCCACCCCCUCUGCGCCUGCCUGAGUGUGUUUGUGCUCCAUCCUCAAGUGGCACGAUAAUCCACUAAACUUUCCUCCGCCCGCUUCUCUCAAUGCAAUCAGGAUGCGAAGGCUCACCAGUGAUUGCAUUCAUUUGUAAAAGCAUCCAAGCCAAAAUUGAACCCCAAGGCUGAUAAACUAUAAAGAUGCUGAUCAGAUCGCGGCUAAGGAGUCCACACUUGGGGGCACAAGUGUCAGGGCUGGAGCCAAAAGAGCAAUGACUCUGUAUACCUCAGUCAGAGCCAGGCGAGUGGCCUGGAAUACAAACAAGACGGCAGAAAACACACAGAAGAAGAAGAAACGACGACUCUAUUUUACCAGCAGGAGGUAUUAUCUGUUCAGCAGAUUAGUCAUUUUUUUUAGGUGCCAUUUCUUUUUUCUGGGCUGCAUACACAACUGGAGUGCGCUUGUUACUGGAGCUUCUGCAAAUGUAUGUUCUUUAGGAGUUUUAUGAUGCAUCAAAAUAGAGACCUGAAAGAAACGGUAUUACAGGGGAGCUAGAUGUUUUAAUCUGGCAGUGAAUUAUUGAAUGUGACAUAUUGUGCACAACUCUCCUUUUGCAUUCCUCUGUGCUGUCCUGUGGGUCUCUACUGCAUAACAAGACAAAAACCAACCCGUCCAUUUUGUCUGUUUGAUUUUAUGUGCAUAAAACAAGCCAUUUCACAAAGGUCCCUUUUGUGAUGUCACAAAUGGAGAAAUUAGCAUAGAACUGCCUUUCACGGGCAAGAGAGAGCCAGUGCGGCUUUACUUUGAACCCCUCCCAGAUAUCGGAGCUUCUCGGCUUAUAGCAGCCUGAGCGGGGAUGGGUAGGCGUGGCCAGCUCCAGCUUGUUUUAUAAAAGUGACAGAGCCCUGAAACAGCUCAUUCUGGAAGGUACUGAAAAUGUCUGGAAAAAAUCAGCUGAAAUUGCUUCAUGUGAGAUGGAUUUAGUGCAAAGAACUCCAUUGAACUAUUAUAACUUAAUAAAAUCAGUCAUAUGUCCCCUUCUGGUAAUUUAUGACUCCCAAGGUCCCGCAUAUUGCUCCGACUUUUGCCACCAGUGGAGAUGGUGCAACUUUUUAGCUUUACCGCAGUCUCUACCUGGUAAUUGUCUCCCUCUAAAUUAACAGUGUCAUUACUUUAAACACAUAUCUGCCUCAGCUAAAGCACAAAAGCAGACUGACGCAGGGAAAAGAAGGAAAGAAAGAAAGUGAAGAUCUGAGGUUGUUUUUUCCUUUCCCAUCUCCGUGGCCCCAGUGCGUUAAAUGUCAAAGAGCAGUCAGCGGGAGAGACUGAUUCCAGGAGGCGAUGUGAAUGGGACGAUUGAAGACCUGCUUUGAUUGACAGCUCUUCCUCUCCCGCUCUGCCCUGAGGGUGAUUGACAAUGUGGUUCAUCUCACAUUUUGUGACUGAGCUAAUCCAGUAAAUUCCUACCAGACGCGGCUCAACUCAGCAGAGACGUGCCGCUCCUUUCCCAGGUGGAGUCCUCAUUUUAUUUCGUCUUUCCCCAAAAUAAAUAUGUUUUUUCCCCCUCCAUCUGUGGCACUGACAACAAACUGGGGAAGAGGACAGGCGGGUGGAGGGGGUCUAUAAUUAAGUGUAAGUACAUAAUUAAGUGAGUUUAGAAAAGUGAGUUUUUCUAUGAAUUAAAAUGUAGACUAAUGACAUGUGGGAAUUAUCCUGCUGUUGUGUUGGCGAUUAACAUUGUCACCGGUUACUGUCGCAAUGUGCCGCCUGUCGGAGAUGGGAUCACCUUACUGGAACGACUGAUCUCUUGCCAGGUUCAGUAAUUAAUUGACUCAACAUUUUCUGACACACAACUGUCUCACACGGCGUCCCUCGUGCCCACAAGGUGUGCCGCUCGUCCUCUUGACCUUGCACCUGUAUUUUGAUGUGCGCCGGUUUCCCAGAAACUCUCUUCCGCCGUGCUGCAGCUGGCUUUUCAAAGAGGAACAAAAGCAGAGGAACAAAACUAAGAGACGCAAUCUAUUUACAAGGUCCUCAGCUCCGUUUUAGGGCGUGGAAGCUUUUUGGACAUUUUUUGUUUUUUUUGACACCGGUGACACCAAUUAAUGGAGCUGCCCAAUAAGGAUAGGCGUGUGCAACAUGUCUGACGCCUCCAUUAAUCAUCAUUCCUAAAUGAUCGCUCUGCAAGGGGAUUCAUUUAAGCAUGAUUAAUUGCAGAGUGGGCCUAAUCAGGCGAUGAAUUACCUGCCUAACCUUUUGCAGGAGGUUGUUGUUAACCUCAAGUCAAAGCAGUGGAGCUCGAGGUAGUUAACUGUGUCAAGGAAAAUUAAAACACAACAAUAACGAGAAUAUGGAAAAGCUCACAUCUUAAAAGCAGCAUCAAAACAACAGUGCUAUAGUUAUGUUUACUAACUUGUAGUUAGCCAGAGGAGCUACAGUAUUUAGCAAGCUAACUUCUACUUCCUGCAACAGGAGCACCAGGUGGUUUGUUUAUUUAUUUUUUUGCACAGAGAACAACUCAAAAGGCAUUCACAAAUUCUCGUCGUCUUCCUCCGCUUAUCCGGGUCCGGGUCGCGGGGACAGCAUCUCAACUAGGGAGCUCCAGACCGUCCUCUUCCCGGCCACCUCCACCAGCUCCUCCGGCAGGACCCCAAGGCGUUCCCGGACCAGAUUGGAGAUGUAACCUCUCCAACGUGUCCUGGGUCGACCCGGGGGCCUCCUGCUGGCAGGACCUGCCCGAAACACCUCCCCAGGGAGGCGUCCAGGAGGCAUCCUGACCAGAUGCCCAAUCAACUGACCCCUUUCGAUCCGGAGGAGCAGCGGUUCUACUCAGAGUCCUCCCCGAAUGUCCGAGCUUCUCACCCUAUCUCCAAGGCUGAGCCCGGCCACCCUACGGAGGAAACUCAUUUCGGCCGCUUGUAUCCGCGAUCUCGUUCUUUCAGUCAUUACCCGAAGCUCAUGACCAUAGGUGAGGAUUGGGACGUAGAUCGACCGGUAAAUCGAGAGCCUGGCUUUCUGGCUCAGCUCCCUCUUCACCACGACAGAUCGGUUCA